AUUGAACGCUGGCGGCAUGCCUUACACAUGCAAGUCGAACGGCAGCACGGGUGCUUGCACCUGGUGGCGAGUGGCGAACGGGUGAGUAAUACAUCGGAACAUGUCCUGUAGUGGGGGAUAGCCCGGCGAAAGCCGGAUUAAUACCGCAUACGAACUACGGAUAAAAGCGGGGGACCUUCGGGCCUCGCGCUUUAGGGUUGGCCGAUGGCUGAUUAGCUAGUUGGUGGGGUAAAGGCCUACCAAGGCGACGAUCAGUAGCUGGUCUGAGAGGACGACCAGCCACACUGGGACUGAGACACGGCCCAGACUCCUACGGGAGGCAGCAGUGGGGAAUUUUGGACAAUGGGCGAAAGCCUGAUCCAGCAAUGCCGCGUGUGUGAAGAAGGCCUUCGGGUUGUAAAGCACUUUUGUCCGGAAAGAAAUCCUUGGCCCUAAUACGGUCGGGGGAUGACGGUACCGGAAGAAUAAGCACCGGCUAACUACGUG
Molecule: ribosomal RNA, 486 nt
Filed under: uncultured bacterium
Lineage: Bacteria
Description: partial 16S ribosomal RNA
Rfam family: Bacterial small subunit ribosomal RNA
Source: RNAcentral